CACAGUUAUGCAUUCCCAGAAGAUAAACAAGCACUAUCUUGACUGUGUGGUCAAGGACCCCGAGAUGCCGUGCUUCCUCUUUCGUGACUUAUUCCAGCCCUUCUUCUUAGUCCAGGACUUAGUGACGGGAGACUCUGGCAGCUUCUUGGGCAGUUAUGUGCUGAAGGUGGUGGGCGGUGGUCGCACAGAAGAAACCAUCAAAGACUACACAGAAGAGGAAAUCUUCCGUUACAACAGCCCGCUGGACACGUAAUCCCCUUGGGGUCCUGGUCCACAGCUGGUGGGUCUGGUCUAUUGGGUCUCCCCUCCCACUUGUAGUUAAGCAGGGGACUCUUUCUGCCAACUACAAACACUCAAGGUGCCUCAGAGAGGAAAGCCAAGGGUCCCGCAACCCUGCCCCGUCCUCAAGUUCCCCACCCUUAGGUGCUGAGAACCAUCUGCACUCUCAACCCACUUUGACUCUUUAUGGGCCUGCUUAGAACGAAAAGUCUCAUCUGGAAAACCAAAGCUGAAAGGACCACCAGUGACAACAAGUUCUACAUAAUGUCCCAUAAGAGCCCCGGAAUAGAGUGGCUGUGUUCGGAGAACUCCCCUUGCUACGACAUCAUCCCCACAGACAUCUUUCCACCUGAAUUCUUCUUCAAGUUGUUAGUGAGCAAUAGUAACUCAAUCCUGGGCUCCAUCCCCUCACCAGAGGUGUAGACGACAGCACAUACUGUGACUACCAGCUC
Molecule: long non-coding RNA, 731 nt
Filed under: Rattus norvegicus (Norway rat)
Lineage: Eukaryota; Metazoa; Chordata; Mammalia; Rodentia; Muridae
Description: long non-coding RNA NONRATT002501
Source: RNAcentral